This 255-nucleotide long non-coding RNA is filed under the name Elaeis guineensis (African oil palm). Its description in RNAcentral is "long non-coding RNA (EGUI_LNC009332)". Lineage: Eukaryota; Viridiplantae; Streptophyta; Magnoliopsida; Arecales; Arecaceae. The record is from RNAcentral.
GGUGCAAGCUACUAAGAGUCAUCUACUAUUCAAGAAGAUUGUCUUUGAAACCAUUGAGAUAUUUAAUUAGAACUGGCUCACCAUUCUAGAGAAACAUUUUCAGUUUAUUUGGAUUAUUCAAACAAUGCUUUUGUCUGAAGCUAGGCAACGGGUGUCAAAUCCUCUUUUGGCAGGAUCCUUGGAUUAGGGAGAGCGCUCUAAACCUCUCUCUCCCAAAUCUAUUCUAUUUUAUAAGAAACCAAAAUAGUUCGGCGG